RNAcentral lists this long non-coding RNA (652 nucleotides) under Rattus norvegicus (Norway rat). Its description in RNAcentral is "long non-coding RNA NONRATT007878". The record is from RNAcentral. Lineage: Eukaryota; Metazoa; Chordata; Mammalia; Rodentia; Muridae.
GAGGCAGCAGAAGAGACGUCCGGCAGCCCCCAGGACUCAGGGCUCAGGCUCCCCACCCUCACCUCACUUCUGCCCAGUCCUCUCUGUCCGCUGGGUCCCACAUGGCCUGAAUGUGUAGGAAAAACAUGGGGGAGACAAAGCACUCUCAUACUUGUCCUUUUUCUGUGUAUGUCUCGGUCUGUCUCUGUCUCUUUAUGUCUGUUUCUCUGUGUCUGUUUCUGUCUGUCUGUCUGUCUGUCUCCACCAACAUGCUUCUCUCAUGGAGAAGACACAUCCAUCACCUAUCCAUGGCUGUCUACCAUCCUUCCAUAGUCCAUCAUCUGCCCACCUCCACCUGUUGUAAAAAUUUUAGUCCCAAUCUGUUUUUCUUUUUUAAAAGAUGUAUGUAUGUAUGUAUGUAUGUAUGUAUGUAUGUAUGUAUGUAUGUACACACACACACACGCACACACCAGAAGACACACCGGAAGAGAGCAUCAGAUCUCAUUACAUGCUGGGAUUUGAACUCAAUCUGGGAUUUCUACCCCACUCUGACCAUUUAGUUUUCAUGUAAAAGACACAUAAUUUUUAUCAUUUACAGUAAGCCUUGAGUGGCACAGAGCUGGACAGAUAUCUACCUCUGUAUUAUUAAAAUCUAUUUUUUAUUGAUAACCCG